Molecule: long non-coding RNA, 1108 nt
Filed under: Cyanistes caeruleus (blue tit)
Lineage: Eukaryota; Metazoa; Chordata; Aves; Passeriformes; Paridae
Description: lncRNA (ENSCCEG00000014507.1)
Source: RNAcentral
CUGUUACUAAUGUUCACCAAUAUUCGUGUUCACUAAUUUAGGUCCUAUUGUGAAACUUCAGAUGAUGAGAUCUGUUUAAAAGAUAGGGGAAGAUGGGAAGAACAUCCCUCCCUCCUGUGCCUUAUUUGAACAAAAGGAGAACCAUUCAGAGGAGUCAUUCCAAGGAGAAGCAUCACAUCCAGCACAUCCCAGCACAGCAUGCAGAGGGGAUGUAGACAACAUGGGCAAGUGGAUGACACGUGCAUCAUGCCAGUCCUCUUUCUCCUCUCCACUAGGUCAACUGCUUGCAGCAAUAUGACCACAGAUUAUUAACUUUUUUUUUGUGGUUAGGAGGAUGUAAUCUCCUGGUGGGGAGGAGGUCAGGCAGAUUUCACUGGGGUAAUGGACUGUCACUUAGACACAGGAAACUAUUAAGAACAUGGUAGUCUUUUCAAACUUUAGGUUACUCUCUGGUAAAUAAACCAUGAAUCCUUCAUUUUAAGUCAGACUGUAAUAAACUUUUAAAGAAAUUCACUAAUUUAUAUUUUUGAAAGAGACUUUGUAAAAUCUUAAGUAAUUAUUUAACCAUUUAAAAUCCUAACCUGUUUUUUCAGGGAUGAAAGCAUGGCUGCUUCCUCCAGCUCUGGGUUGUUGGUGCCAGUGUAGUUUCUGAUACAGCAGAGAGUGCUGUCACACCUAAUGAUUGUAACUCAUGUUCCACUCAACCUACAUCAACCCGUAAAUUUGCUGUGUGAAGCGCAGUGAGAGGGGUCAUGCCCACCCAGUGACUGCUCCUCCAGAGGUUUUCCCUCCUGCCCAUUGCCUGAUAUUGCCUGAAAACAAAGCAAAACAAAAUUAUGACAUUUGCUCCCAGGUCGGGUAUCUGUACAAGGAUGAAUCAGUAUAAAGAGAACAGAACUCUGCAGGGAAUCUUUCUUAGCUCAUACCAGAAGAAAACUUCAGCUAAUCCUCAUUCAGCAGUGUUGUCAGGAAGAUAGCUGCCUACAGCCCUACAGCACAAAGAAGUAGGUAACAAUUUUCUGCUCCAGGUAUAUUUUGUAUUUCCAUCAUUAUUACUAUUAUUAAUUAUUGUUAUUGUCAUUAUUGCAUCUGUGAGGUAUUCUAGCCC